CAGUCGCCGCGGUAGUACGUAGGUGGCAAGCGUCGUCCGGAAUUAUUGGGCGUAAAGGGCUCGCAGGCGGUUUCUUAAGUCUGAUGUGAAAGCCCCCGGCUCAACCGGGGAGGGUCAUUGGAAACUGGGAAACUUGAGUGCAGAAGAGGAGAGUGGAAUUCCACGUGUAGCGGUGAAAUGCGUAGAGAUGUGGAGGAACACCAGUGGCGAAGGCGACUCUCUGGUCUGUAACUGACGCUGAGGAGCGAAAGCGUGGGGAGCGAACAGGAUUAGAUACCCCUGUAGUCCCUGUCUCUUAUAC
Molecule: ribosomal RNA, 301 nt
Filed under: uncultured bacterium
Lineage: Bacteria
Description: partial 16S ribosomal RNA
Rfam family: Bacterial small subunit ribosomal RNA
Source: RNAcentral